RNAcentral lists this ribosomal RNA (842 nucleotides) under uncultured archaeon. RNAcentral describes it as "bacterial SSU rRNA". It matches the Rfam family "Archaeal small subunit ribosomal RNA", at positions 52 to 901 of the family's 1478-position model. The record is from RNAcentral.
UGCGAGUCAUUGUAGCAAUACAAGGCAGACGGCUCAGUAACGCGUAGUCAAUCUACCCUAUGGACGGGAAUAACCUCGGGAAACUGAGAAUAAUGCCCGACAGAACAUUAUACCUGGAACGGUUUAUGUUUCAAAUGAUUUAUCGCCGUAGGAUGGGACUGCGGCCUAUCAGUUUGUUGGUGAGGUAAUGGCCCACCGAGACUAUUACAGGUACGGGCUCUGAGAGGAGUAGCCCGGAGAUGGGUACUGAGACACGGACCCAGGCCCUAUGGGGCGCAGCAGGCGAGAAAACUUUGCAAUGUGCGAAAGCACGACAAGGUUAAUCCGAGUGGUUUCUGCUAAAGAAACCUUUUGCUAGUCCUAGAAACACUAGUGAAUAAGGGGUGGGCAAGUUCUGGUGUCAGCCGCCGCGGUAAAACCAGCACCUCAAGUGGUCAGGAUGAUUAUUGGGCCUAAAGCAUCCGUAGCUCGUUUUGUAAGUUUUCGGUUAAAUCCAUACGCUUAACGUAUGGGCUGCCGGGAAUACUGCAUAACUAGGAAGUGGGAGAGGUAGACGGUACUCGGUAGGAAGGGGUAAAAUCCUUUGAUCUAUUGAUGACCACCUGUGGCGAAGGCGGUCUACCAGAACACGUUCGACGGUGAGGGAUGAAAGCUGGGGGAGCAAACCGGAUUAGAUACCCGGGUAGUCCCAGCUGUAAACUAUGCAAACUCAGUGAUGCAUUGGCUUGUGGCCAAUGCAGUGCUGCAGGGAAGCCGUUAAGUUUGCCGCCUGGGAAGUACGUACGCAAGUAUGAAACUUAAAGGAAUUGGCGGGGGAGCACCACAAGGGUGGAGCCUGCGGU